UAACACGUGGGUAACCUGCCCAAGAGACUGGGAUAACACCUGGAAACAGAUGCUAAUACCGGAUAACAACACUAGACGCAUGUCUAGAGUUUGAAAGAUGGUUCUGCUAUCACUCUUGGAUGGACCUGCGGUGCAUUAGCUAGUUGGUAAGGUAACGGCUUACCAAGGCAAUGAUGCAUAGCCGAGUUGAGAGACUGAUCGGCCACAUUGGGACUGAGACACGGCCCAAACUCCUACGGGAGGCAGCAGUAGGGAAUCUUCCACAAUGGACGAAAGUCUGAUGGAGCAACGCCGCGUGAGUGAAGAAGGGUUUCGGCUCGUAAAGCUCUGUUGGUAGUGAAGAAAGAUAGAGGUAGUAACUGGCCUUUAUUUGACGGUAAUUACUUAGAAAGUCACGGCUAACUACGUGCCAGCAGCCGCGGUAAUACGUAGGUGGCAAGCGUUGUCCGGAUUUAUUGGGCGUAAAGCGAGUGCAGGCGGUUCAAUAAGUCUGAUGUGAAAGCCUUCGGCUCAACCGGAGAAUUGCAUCAGAAACUGUUGAACUUGAGUGCAGAAGAGGAGAGUGGAACUCCAUGUGUAGCGGUGGAAUGCGUAGAUAUAUGGAAGAACACCAGUGGCGAAGGCGGCUCUCUGGUCUGCAACUGACGCUGAGGCUAGGCAAGUGGAAUUCCUAGUGUAGCGGUGAAAUGCGUAGAUAUUAGGAGGAACACCAGUGGCGAAGGCGGCUUGCUGGACGAUGACUGACGUUGAGGCUCGAAAGCGUGGGGAGCAAACAGGAUUAGAUACCCUGGUAGU
This 795-nucleotide ribosomal RNA is filed under the name uncultured bacterium. RNAcentral describes it as "bacterial SSU rRNA". It matches the Rfam family "Bacterial small subunit ribosomal RNA", at positions 111 to 794 of the family's 1533-position model. The record is from RNAcentral.